AUGAAGGCAGUGGGAGAGUUCGAUAUAUUCGAACGCCGAAGGGGCAAGGCUUAGAGCCGAAACUCUCAGGCACAAGGACCUCUGCUGGACG
This 91-nucleotide non-coding RNA is filed under the name Dethiosulfovibrio peptidovorans. RNAcentral describes it as "Glycine sequence". It matches the Rfam family "Glycine riboswitch aptamer". From Rfam's summary of the family: This family represents the bacterial glycine riboswitch. Glycine riboswitches usually consist of two metabolite-binding aptamers domains with similar structures in tandem. The aptamers cooperatively bind glycine to regulate the expression of downstream genes. RNAcentral also lists the same sequence under 1 other name. The record is from RNAcentral. Lineage: Bacteria; Thermotogati; Synergistota; Synergistia; Synergistales; Dethiosulfovibrionaceae.